GCCUCGAUAGUUCGGUUGGGAGAGCGUUAGACUGAAGAUGUAAAGGUCAUCAGUCCGAUCCUGGUUCCGGGCA
Molecule: non-coding RNA, 73 nt
Organism: Angiostrongylus cantonensis (rat lungworm)
Lineage: Eukaryota; Metazoa; Nematoda; Chromadorea; Rhabditida; Metastrongylidae
Source: Rfam